Triticum dicoccoides is the source of this 702-nucleotide long non-coding RNA. RefSeq lists it as uncharacterized. The record is from RefSeq and is a predicted model, not a curated record. The transcript has 2 exons. NCBI's taxonomy places the organism in Eukaryota, Viridiplantae, Streptophyta, Magnoliopsida, Poales, Poaceae.
UUUCACACCAAAAUUUGUCCCGAUCCUAUCCCGUCUCUCUCAACCCCUUCACAUUUUCCCUCCCCACCCUAAUCCAAGUCUGAAUCAGGCUCUCCCCUCGCUCCUCCACUAGGUUGCCCGAUCCAUGGUUGCCGACGUUCUCCGUCUCGAGGCCGUCAGCCGUACCUCAGGGUGCCCUCUUCCAACGACCACGGCUGCUUCCCACCUCCCCACCUCAGCCCUACCUCCGGCGAGCACUGAAUCCAUGUGCGGGCCUCCUCCUGGUCGCCGAUGCCAGCCCAGAUCGAUGACAACAGCUAGGAGAAAGAGCAGAUGCAGGCUAUAGAUCUGGCUGUGAACAGGGGUUUUGCACGGACGUUGUAAACAUGUGGGCGCUCACUUAUUUGGAGUUGGAUUAUACUGUUAAUUUUAGAUGCUAGCAUGGUUGACAUGCAGAAACUUCACAUGCAUGGAAGAUAUGUACUACGUACAAUUCAUUUGCAACAUCUGUACUCUAAGUGCUUCUAUACAUUUUUCAAACUUGAUUGUAGACCUGGCUGUUCCUUUGUACAUCUGUACUGCAAUGUUGUGUGUACGUCUAGAGGUUUCUUGGCGGACUGCUAGCUGUGUGCAUUGAUGUAUCUUUCCCGGUUAUAUUUACUGUCAAAACGAGCACAUGUAAGUUGUUUGGUUAACAAACUAAUGGAAGGUAUUUCAAGUGUU